This 2575-nucleotide long non-coding RNA is filed under the name Citrus x clementina. RNAcentral describes it as "Citrus clementina (C. clementina) long non-coding RNA (CCLE_LNC006810)". The record is from RNAcentral. Lineage: Eukaryota; Viridiplantae; Streptophyta; Magnoliopsida; Sapindales; Rutaceae.
AAAAACCCCAUGGAUUCGGAUCCGAAUCCAGAUGUAAGUAUAUCCGCAAAAUUGGAUAUUUAGAUUCGGCUAAAUUAUAUAUUAAAUUAAAAUUAAAUUAAAAAGAUGUAACUUAAAUUGAAAAAAUCCUAACUACCUAACCCUAAAACAAAAUCACAGCAGUGUAUAUACGCACACAUUCAGUUCACCUUCAUUGGCAGCCAAAUCCCCCAAGUCCGUAAUGCUGCCAUCACCGUCUGCCUCGCCUGAGCAUGCUGCACGUUGCAUGCAUCGUUGUCGUCGAAGCCUUGCUUGAGCAUGCCUCAUGCAUCAUUUGUCUUAAGGCCUUGCCUGCGUUGAGUCGUCUACCUCAUCUCGCUUGAGCUGAGCAUGUUGCACACGCUUGCCCUUGCCCCUUCGCUCCGUCGUUGGUUGCUAAAUAACUCGCUUGCCGGUGGCCACUUCCUCGCUGCUCAAUUGUCGUUGGUAACAAAAAGGUAAAAUCAUUCUUUUUUUUUUAUAUCAAUUUUUAGUGAACUAAUUUGUGGACUUUAGCCAUGCGAAUUAAUUUCCAGUGAAUUAAGAUGUAUAAGCAUAAAUGCAUAAUUAACUUUGUAAUCUUCCUUAACUUUGAAAAAAUAUGUUAAGAAACUAAAAAGAUAAUAAUAAUAAUAAUUAGGUAAAUGAGAAUAUUAUAAUGAAUUGGUUUACUUAGGUUAUUUUUCAUAUCUUAUUUUUUUUUCACAUAUGUUAACUCACUUUACAACUCACUUUAAAUAGGUUUUGGGAUAUUGAACAUGGCCGAAGAGGAACAAGGAAACAAUUUUACAUUUUCUCUGAAUAGUGUUAAUAAUAUGGAUGUUAGAUUAGAGGAUGUCCGCGAACCUGAAAUGACAAUGUUGUCAAAGUUGAACUGGAUUUAACAGUUAUAGAAUAUGGUAUUGGUCGUGGCCGUGUGCGAGGUGUUAAAGAAAGAGUAGGUAAUGAGAGUGAAGGCAUAGCAAAAGGGUCUACAUUAGCACAAUCUAGCGGUUGUAAGCUAACUUCUGAUGUAUAGAAUCAUUUCAAGAGGUACAAGGACGUGGAAGGGCAGCGUUUGGCAGUUUGCAACUAUUGUAAUAAAGUUUUGACAAGACAUUAUUAUGGUAGGACUACGCACUUAAAAAAUUAUUUUACAAGUUGUUUGAGAAAGAAUUUCAAGCAUGUUAGCCAAAUGCUUCUUGCUAAGAAAUAUGAUGGAUCCGUUGCAGUUGAAAGUUGUUCUGAAAUAAAAUGUGAUAUGUCGACGGUAAGGAUUACUGUUGCAAUAAUGAUCAUUUUGCAUGACCUUCUAUUUUCAUUUGUUGAAUAUUAAGGGUUUUGUGAUUUGAUGAAGUUGGUUCAAUUGACACUUGAUACAAUAAAUCAAAAUAUCAUUAAGAAUGAAAAUUUGAAACUUUAUGAUGUUGAGAGGUCGAAGACAAUAAAUUUGUUGGAUGCUUGUGAGAGUAGGAAUGCAAUUACUACAAAUAUGUGGAUAUAUGGUUAUUACGGCACAUUAUAUUGACAACCUAUGGGUGUUAUGAAGUCACAUUAUGAGGUAACACUUUUGAUAUUUAUAUUAUGUUUAUUUCAAUUUUAACGCAUUUUAAUGAUUUCAACAAUUUUUAUUAUUAUUAUUAUUAUUAUUAUUAUUAUUAUUAUUAUUAUUGCAUUAUUACGUUUAUAUAUGUGCCAACUCCACACAGUGGAGAAGUAAUAUGUAAUGUUUUGUAUGAUUGUUUGAUGGGUUGGGAUAUUGAUAGGAAAGUAUCAACUAUAACUGUGGAUAAUUGUGCUGCUAAUAAUGCAAUGGUUAAUAUACUGUUGGAAAAAUUUUCCCAAGUUCAUUGAUUUUAGGCGAGAAAAUUUUUCACAUGCGUUGUUGUACUCAUAUCUUGAAUUUGAUUGUGAAGGAUGAGAUGUAUGUGAUGGAUAAAAGUGUUCAAAAUAUAAAAGAUAAUGUCAAUUAUCGGACUACUACAACUGAAAGAGUUGAAAAAUCUAAGACUGCAAUGCGCUAAAUAAGUAUUGCAGAGACCAAACAUUUGGUUCUUGAUUGUGAGACUCAAUGGAAUUCAACUUAAUGCUCACUACUACUUUGUUGUAUAAGGAUGCAUUUGUUUGGUUGAGUAAGCUUGAUAAACAAUAUCAGUGUUUGCCUAAUGAGUCGGAGUGGGAUUUGGCAAAGGUUUUUGUAUGCCCAUUUGGAUUUGUUUUCUAUGUUGAUAGAAAUUAUUUUUGGAUCUUGAUAUCCCACCUCUAACUUAUUUUUUUCUUGUGAGAUUAGAUUGUUAAUGAAUUCAUGGAAAAGAUAACCCAAUGUGGAGAUUAGACAAAUGACCGAAAAUAUGAUAAGUUUUGGGAUGUUAUUCAUGGAUUAUUGUGUAUAUGGAAUAUCUUAAAUCCUAGGUUUAAAAAGAUUAUGGUUACUUCCUUUUUCCUAAGAUUCAUAGAGAGGAAUCUGUCUAUCGAGCUAAAAGGAUAUUUAACCUUUUUGUUAAAGUGUUGAAAGAGUAUGAAUCACAGCAUGUAACAAGUAAAGAUAUAGGAGAUUUUGAGAUGGGCAGUUCUUUUC